RNAcentral lists this long non-coding RNA (1760 nucleotides) under Zea mays. Its description in RNAcentral is "long non-coding RNA (ZMAY_LNC000608)". The record is from RNAcentral. Lineage: Eukaryota; Viridiplantae; Streptophyta; Magnoliopsida; Poales; Poaceae.
UCAGUACAUCAUAAUAAAACAUAGUCUCAUAAAAAAACAUAGUCAUAAUAAAACAUGUGUGCACAAACAUAGUCUCAGUGCAUCAUAAUAAAACAUAGUCUCAUAAUAAAACAUAGUCUCAGUGUACACGACCAAUGUCAAACAUAGUCUCAGUGCAUAAUAAUAAAACAUAUAGUUUCAACAUACACGACCUAAAAGCAAACGCCAUCUUGAUGUUUCAGUUCUUCUGGCGACCACUUGUUGAUGAAAAUCCCUUGUGUAUCACCUGUUGAUGAGAAAACUUAGACAAAUGUAUAUAUAUUCAAUUCCUCUAUAUUCAGUUCAAUAUCCAAUUUGGAGACCCUCUGUAUUUGGGGACAUGAAAGCCUUUAUAUUUAGUUCAAUAUUCAGUAAUAAAGAGAAGACAUUGCUGAACUGAAUUCAGAUGUUUAUGAAGCACCUGGUUAAACAUCUGUAAUAAAGAGAAGGUAUUGCUUGAACUAAAUUCAGAUUGUCAACAUACUCUGAAAACUGAAUUGGAUCAGCACAUCUGUAAUAAAGAGAAGACAUUGCUGAACUGGAACAAAGGUGUGGAUUUAGAUGUUUAUGAAGCACUUGCUUAUGUAAACAUAAAUAGCUGAACUCAAAUAGCGGCAUAUUUUACUAGAAACAAAAUUGAAAUAGCAGAUUUAAGCAAUUAAACAAUAGAGGUAACUAAAUAGCAGAUUUUACUAGCAAAAAAACUGAAAUAGCAGAUUUAAGCAAGUAAAAAAUGUUGUAGAAAUUGAGUGAUUUAUAUAACUACCUGCUUGUGAAUCUCGUCCCUAAGCCACAACAAUCGGACACAUUGUUGGUAACUAAAUAGCAGUCCUCGCAGCUACCUGCUUGUAGAAAUUUCUCUAAUUUUUUGUGCACCACUACGACAAGAAGUGUGUACUGGCCUCUUUUCAGAAUAAAGGGAAGCAUAUAUAGCUGGAACUAACACAAAAAAUAACUCAUCAUCAUCAUCCUCCUCCUGUUUCAAAUGUUUCCUUAUCAACUCAAUUUUAGAACCUAUUUGUUAGUAUCCCUAAAACAAGAGAACAUGUCUGAGAAAUAUAACAAGAAGUGUGUACGUUUCUACAAGAAAUAUGACAAGAAAUAUGUCCUUUUUUCCUACAAAAACAUAAUUAUUUUUUAGAGCCGUGUAUGUUUCUACAUAAAUUAACCUUUGCUUUGUUGCACCAAUCUACUGCUUCCGUAUAAUUAUUAAAAAUCCACAGUGAACCGCAGUGUGCACAAUCAAUUAUUAAAAAUUUGAAUACAAUGAACCGCAGUGUGCACAAUCAAAUAUUAAAAAUCUGAAUAGUACAUUCUCCAUCUACUGCUUCCGUACUAGAAUAAUUAUCGCUACAAUACUUAUAUCAGCCCAAUCUCUAGAUGAUUCACUCCCUGGUCAGCGAUGUUUACCUGGUCGGCGAUGUAGCAGCGGCUGGUCCACGCACGGUGCUGCGUCCACGGAAGCCACGGGCGGCGUCUGGUCCACGGAAGCCACGGGCGGUGUCUGGUCCACGCGCGGUGCUGCGCUUGGUCGGCGAUGUAGUGGGUGAGUGAGGUGGAGGUGGACGGAAGCCACGGGCAGCGGACGGAGGCGGCAAGGUGCCUGUAGGCGAAGGCGGCGGCCUGGGUGUCUUGGAGAGGCGAGACCGCGAGAGGCGAGGGUUUCCAGCCCGACCUCGUGAGGCUAGGCCAGAUAGCCCCUUCCUCUCCCGUGGAUUCGGCCGGGAUAAUGGGCUGCCAAG